Molecule: ribosomal RNA, 225 nt
Filed under: uncultured bacterium
Lineage: Bacteria
Description: partial 16S ribosomal RNA
Rfam family: Bacterial small subunit ribosomal RNA
Source: RNAcentral
GGUUUAAUUCGAUGAUACGCGAGGAACCUUACCCGGGCUUGAAUUGCAGAGGAAGGAUUUGGAGACAAUGACGCCCUUCGGGGCCUCUGUGAAGGUGCUGCAUGGUUGUCGUCAGCUCGUGCCGUGAGGUGUCGGCUUAAAGUGCCAUAACGAGCGCAACCCCUCUCCUUAGUUGCCAUCAGGUCAAGCUGGGCACUCUGGGGACACUGCCACCGUAAGGUGUGA